UGCAAAGUGAACUUCCUCACAGUCUGCUAUAAAGACUUGAUAUCAUGCUGUCAGUUGCAGCAGAAGAAGAGAAGCUCCCAUCAGAUCACCUUCAAUAGCAACCAUGUUCUCUGUAGCUCUGCUGCUGCUGCUGCGCUGCGGAUCCUGUGUGAAGUGUGAACAGUUGACCCAGCCAGCCUCUGUGACUGUGCAGCCAGGUCAACGUCUGACCAUCACCUGUCAGGUCUCUUAUUCUGUUAGCAGCUACUACACAGCUUGGAUCAGACAGCCUGCAGGGAAAGGACUGGAGUGGAUUGGAAUGAAAUAUACUGGAGAUUCAUACUACAAAGAUUCACUGAAGAACAAGUUCAGUAUCGACUUAGAGACUUCCAAUGGACAGAAUGUGCAGCCUGAAGACACUGCUGUUAGCUACUACAUGGACUGGAUCAGACAGGGUCCUGGAAAAAGACUGGGUUGCUACUAUCACUCAUACCAGUAG
Molecule: non-coding RNA, 478 nt
Organism: Perca fluviatilis (European perch)
Lineage: Eukaryota; Metazoa; Chordata; Actinopteri; Perciformes; Percidae
Source: the annotation of a RefSeq genome assembly